UACGUAGGGUGCAAGCGUUAAUCGGAAUUACUGGGCGUAAAGCGUGCGCAGGCGGUUUUGUAAGUCAGAUGUGAAAUCCCCGGGCUUAACCUGGGAACUGCGUUUGAAACUACAAGGCUAGAGUGUGGCAGAGGGGGGUGGAAUUCCACGUGUAGCAGUGAAAUGCGUAGAGAUGUGGAGGAACACCGAUGGCGAAGGCAGCCCCCUGGGUUAACACUGAGCUGAGGUGCGGAAAGCGUGGGGAGCAAACAG
Molecule: ribosomal RNA, 252 nt
Filed under: uncultured bacterium
Lineage: Bacteria
Description: partial 16S ribosomal RNA
Rfam family: Bacterial small subunit ribosomal RNA
Source: RNAcentral